GCUUGCUCCCUGAUGUUAGCGGCGGACGGGUGAGUAACACGUGGGUAACCUGCCUGUAAGACUGGGAUAACUCCGGGAAACCGGGGCUAAUACCGGAUGGUUGUUUGAACCGCAUGGUUCAAACAUAAAAGGUGGCUUCGGCUACCACUUACAGAUGGACCCGCGGCGCAUUAGCUAGUUGGUGAGGUAACGGCUCACCAAGGCAACGAUGCGUAGCCGACCUGAGAGGGUGAUCGGCCACACUGGGACUGAGACACGGCCCAGACUCCUACGGGAGGCAGCAGUAGGGAAUCUUCCGCAAUGGACGAAAGUCUGACGGAGCAACGCCGCGUGAGUGAUGAAGGUUUUCGGAUCGUAAAGCUCUGUUGUUAGGGAAGAACAAGUACCGUUCGAAUAGGGCGGUACCUUGACGGUACCUAACCAGAAAGCCACGGCUAACUACGUGCCAGCAGCCGCGGUAAUACGUAGGUGGCAAGCGUUGUCCGGAAUUAUUGGGCGUAAAGGGCUCGCAGGCGGUUUCUUAAGUCUGAUGUGAAAG
Molecule: ribosomal RNA, 538 nt
Filed under: Bacillus subtilis
Lineage: Bacteria; Bacillati; Bacillota; Bacilli; Caryophanales; Bacillaceae
Description: bacterial SSU rRNA
Rfam family: Bacterial small subunit ribosomal RNA
Source: RNAcentral